This 4444-nucleotide long non-coding RNA is filed under the name Heterocephalus glaber (naked mole-rat). RNAcentral's name for it is "lncRNA (ENSHGLG00100040464.1)". Lineage: Eukaryota; Metazoa; Chordata; Mammalia; Rodentia; Bathyergidae. The record is from RNAcentral.
AGAAAGUAACCUAAUACUCGCUCACCUCCUACCACCUAGUGACAUCACGGGCUCCUCCAUUCCCUAGUCACUCCCUCACUCAACCCCACCUCAGCCCCUACAAACCCCACCCCAGUCUCUAUAAAAGACUCUCCCUGCUCCGGCCAUAUUGCUUUUUCUCUCCUUUGUUCAGAGACAGCCAGGCAGAUCUAUUCCCCUAAUAAAGGCUUGCUGGGGCCUGGUCUGGUCUUGGUCUUCAGCACUUUUACCUGACAUUUCUGGUGCCGUGACUCGGAUGGUAGAUGGUCCAUUAAUGGACGGUCCCCCCCAGGAUGGGGUUGAUUGACCUUUUGGCCAUCUCCAACGGACCUGUCUGCCGUUGCCAGGACCCUCGGGGGCUUUCUUCCUUUGCCAUUGCUGGCGCUACACAUCCACACCGGUCACCAAUGUCUGGGUGAGUUGGGAGUUCAGCCUACCUCUCCUCGGGUUCUCUGUCUCGUGUUCUCUCUCCCCCUCCGGGGACUUCUCAGAAAUCCAAGCGCUUGGUCAGAGAAACCCCCACGGCCUCUGGGCCCAGGACCGUGCCCCUGGGAGACGUCCCAUCGGCCCGCCUCCUCUCGUUCUCUCCCUUUGGGAGACUCACUCGGAGUUUGUCAAAGGAGACAAGGAUGCUUCUCCCCUUUGUCUUUCUCCCCAGGGGCUGCCUCCUCCUCACCCGCUCUAAUCAGGGGGCCCAACAAUCCAAACCCCGCCCCUCAACGCCUCUGGGCUGCCUUCUGGCACAACUCAAACCCCUCGGAUUGUUGGGACCAGACUUUAAGCCAAAAAGACUUGUUUUCUAUUGUAAUCAGGUUUGGCCUCAGUAUAAAUUAGAGAAUGGGUUUCCAGGGCCCAAAAAUGGGACUUUCAAUUUUAACUUACUGUGUGAUUUACACAACUUCUGUCAACGCAAUGGCAAAUGGUCAGAAAUCCCCUACACACAAACCUUUUCUACCUAUGCUCUUAACCCUCCCUCUGUCAAACCUGUUCUCCUUCUCAAGUACUCCUAGCCUCACCUCUCAUACCUCCCCCACUUUAUAACUCUGUUGAUAGGAAAAAGUUUUAAAGCUUAAUAGAUUAGCUAUUGAAGUAGUUGUGGAAGCAAACCAGGUAGUGUAUCCCUUCUAAAAACUUGCCUUAGCCCAUUGCUUCUGCUGUUUAAAGUAAAGGUUAUAUAGCUUCUUUGAUUUGUAGCUCCACUAUAGAUAACAUCCCAACUAAAGAACGAAAUGGGAAUCCUUGAACAAACUUGUGAGACGUGUGCCUUAACUGUCAUGUGUUUAGGGCUGUCAUCGGGGCAGAAACCACCUGUGUCUAACCAUUAAACAGGAAUUGGAACUUUAUUUACUUAACAAAGACCCCUAGGGAUGAGAUAAUGAUGGACAAAAGUAUAAAAUGCUUAUAGUGAGUUGGAGACCAAAUAUUUAAAAAGCUGUAAGUAAAAGACAUAUUUUUGAUAUAAAAGGAUUUUAUAUGUUUGUCUUGUCAGCAGGACAAGACCAAAAGGCCUAGGUACAUAAAGAAGGUAUGUGGAAGUGAUUUAUGAAGGAAACAUAUAUGUUUACUUGUUGGUUUCAAGUUUGUUAUAAAAGGUUUACAGGAAUAGAGGUUUCCUUCCUUCUGAUUUUAAUUCUACAAGACAUCUCUGUUAAUUGACUUACAAAAAGUUUUAAAUAGUCUUAUUUAUAAUUAUAAACCUAAAAUUAUAAAGAGAUUAUAAUUCCUUUGGGCUAAAUAUAUUUGAGUGCACCCUAGUUUUAGAAAUUGUCUUGUAUCUUUGUUUUUUGUCCAAUCGUACAGCUGUUUUGUUUAUAGAUAAAGGUUAUUAAGUUCAAGGCAUGCUCCCCUUGGUGAACAAAGGAGCGGCCGCAUGGAAAUAUUUUCCAGUCUUUGCUCACUAGGGGGACCUCAACAGUUUUCAUCUUACAACAGACUGACCCGAUGGUUUUCAUAGCCUUAUAAAAGACUUAUAUCAAUAAAUAUUACUUAAAUAUAUUAUUAUACUGUUUAAAGUAAUUGUCAUCAAAGGGAUAAAUUCUAAAUAUGUUGUUAUGGUAUGCUUACAGUGGUCAUUUUCAAAAGACUAAAUAUCCUGUAAAAAACAACAAUAACAAGGUUUUAUUUUUUUCUAGUGUACUAAAUGCAUUUGUACUUUCUGACUGUACAGGUUUUCUAAUAUUUGUUUAUGAUAAUAACCUCCUUUUGAUUCAGGUAUUUGCCUUUUCAUACACUCCAGCUAUUUAUAACAACAGAUACACACAUGGGCUGAGAUAUUUUCUUUAGAUGGUAUCCUAUCAAAAGAUAAUUUAUUUAUUUAUUUUUUUAAAAAAGAUAAUAAUUUAGAUAAAAACUUUUGGUGUUUUUAAAAAAUGAGUACGUUUAACAAUGGCUAUUUUAUAUCAAAAUGGACAUUUAAAUGUGUUACAAAGGUAAAGUCAUCAUAAUUGUCAUGUUAAAAUAUUAUUUGUGGCUCUUUUUCUGUUAAUAUUCUACAGGAAUUCAACUACUAAAAAACAACCAUGACUGAUAACAGUAACAGUUCUCUAUAUUUUAAAUUCCAAAAUGCUUGUCAUUCAGGUAAAACUAUAAUAGUUAUGUUCAUUAUUCUUGUUGCAAUGCUAAUGCUAUUGACCUUCUCUUCUGGGUGUUCAACAACUAAAGUUUGGAGACCAGAACAAAAAGGUAACUGGGCUAUGAGGACAGCCAAUAUUUUGGCCCCGGCCCCUCAAGGUCAACAAAGUUCCAGGACAUGAGGGAACCUUCUCUACAGGGUCCUACAUCUUUGGUAAGUCACUCAACCUCCUAAACUGGGAGAUUGCCGGACACCAGAGGACAAUGUACUGUGUGCCAAAGGAGGGUCACCAAGAAAAAUAUCUCCAAUGCUUUCACUGAAAGCAACUUGGUCAAGCAAGGCCAUGACCCAUCCUGAUGGCUGACACUGACAGAGAAGCAGAGAGGCACUAUGCAUGGUUCCAAAGUAAUGGCCUGGGGAGACUUAACUGACCUUAAUAACAAGAGGUUCAUAUUGAGUGACAUAUGUCUCACUUUAACUUGGUCUUAAACACCCAGCAGAAAAAAAUAACCAAAAGAGGUAUAAAACAAUGACAUAAUAAUAAAGCUAGGCUUCAGAAAAAUUAAGACACAGCCCACCCAUUAAAAUCUUUUGGUUCACUCAUGACACAGCCAUUUCAAAAAGAUAAAUCUUUGGGUACUAAAUAGAAGGGAAAAUCAUUAAUUAGCUACAAGUGUGUACAGAUUCUUUUCAGAAAAAUUAAAAGAAGUUCUUUACAGGUGUCCAAUCCUAGAAACCACUGGUCUCCAGAUCUCUCCUUUUAGAAAAGUGUUUUUCUUAUUCUGAGAUAACUAAUUAACUAUCAUGUAGUGAUCAAAAACAAAAAAAACAAAAAACCAUAAAGUAAGAGUAUUGGGAAAAAAUCACCUGCUUGUCAGCCACAGUCAGGGUAAGUUCUACACCAAGCAGCUACAAGAUUUAUUCCUUUUAAAAUAAUGCACAUCCUUGUUCUCUGUUUAUGAUGCCUCUUCUCGUUGUGCUCAUAUUUCCUGGAUACCUACGCGUGUCUAAAAAGAUCAAGCCUUUUAUGUUACACUUGAUCCCUCAAGUUGGCCAGGGUCCUUGUGGAGGUUAUCAGUUCUCUUUAUUUUUAAAUAUAUCUAGGAGGCUUCCAAACACUGAGAGAUACAGGAAUAAAACUGUCCUGGCCUUGAAUUUAAAGAAGAAGUCAGGUUCAUAGUAACACUACACUCAUCAAUAUGUUGGCCUCCAAAAGACAUUUGCUCAGUUACAUACACCUUUUAUAUUAAAAAAAAAGGAUUAUAAAGAUUAUAUAAAUUGUGUUUAUCACUUUUCCACUCAUUCUCUAAGAGCAAGGACAUGACACAGGGACCCUUAGAUCAGGAGCUAUGAUCUCUUAUUUCCAUAACAGUCUGUUACUUCUAUAACAAAUGAGCCCUUAAACAUCCAGCUGUCUCUGUAAAACCUAUGUAAAUAAUGAAUAAAAAAAUUACAUGUCAAAUGAAAAAAAUUAAAACUCAGUGGGCCAGAUAGAUAUGCCCCCCAAGGUACUAAUCAAUGGUGGGGUACGUCUGGUUCCUGGAACUCAUGGCUCGCCUGGCUAUUCCUACUCUUGGGACCCCUCAGUAUUAUCUUUUUAAUUUUUUUCAUUCGACAUGUAAUUUUUUAUUCAUUAUUUACAUAGGUUUUACAGAGACAGCUGGAUGUUUAGGGGCUCAUUUGUUAUAGAAGUAAGAGACUGUUAUGGAAGAGAUCAUAGCUCCUGAUCUAAGGGCCCAUGUGUCAUGCCCUUGCUCUUAGAGAAUGAGUGGAAAAGUGAUAAACACAAUUUAUAUAAUCUUUAUAAUCCUUUUUUUUUUUUUUUGGAAUAUAAAAGGUGUAUGUAACUGAGCA